AGCAUAAUCAUUAGUUUAUUAAUUGUAGACUUGUAUGAAUGGUUGGACGAAAUAUAAACUGUCUCAUAUCUAAAUUUUAAAAUUUAAAUUUUGAGUUAAAAUGCUUAAAUUUUAUUAUGGGACGAGAAGACCCUAUAGAUCUUUAUUUUUAAUAUUUUAAUAUUUUUUGGAUUAGUUUUUUAUUAUAUUAUUAUUUAUUUUGUUGGGGUGACAUAGGUAUUUAAAUAACUACUUAUUUUUUUAUUCAAUUAUUUUUGUAUAUUUGACCUUUUAAUAUUGUUUUUAGACUUAGAUACCUUAGGGAUAACAGCGUAAUUCCUUUUGAGAGUUCAUAUCGACAAAGGAGAUUGCGACCUCGAUGUUGGAUUAAGAUUAUAUUUAGGUGUAGGUGCUUAAUUAUUAAGUCUGUUCGACUUUUAAAUUCUUACA
Molecule: ribosomal RNA, 429 nt
Filed under: Necrosciinae sp. Australia
Lineage: Eukaryota; Metazoa; Arthropoda; Insecta; Phasmatodea; Lonchodidae
Description: partial 16S ribosomal RNA
Rfam family: Bacterial large subunit ribosomal RNA (bases 303-429)
Source: RNAcentral